Molecule: non-coding RNA, 73 nt
Organism: Omnitrophica WOR_2 bacterium SM23_72
Lineage: Bacteria; Pseudomonadati; Candidatus Omnitrophota
Source: Rfam
GGGCCUCUAGCUCAUCUGGUAGAGCACCACCCUUUUAAGGUGGGUGUGCCGCGUUCGAGUCGCGGGAGGCUCA